Etheostoma spectabile (orangethroat darter) is the source of this 496-nucleotide long non-coding RNA. RefSeq lists it as uncharacterized. The record is from RefSeq and is a predicted model, not a curated record. NCBI's taxonomy places the organism in Eukaryota, Metazoa, Chordata, Actinopteri, Perciformes, Percidae. The transcript is spliced from 2 exons.
GAGCUGCUGAGCGAGCCGCGUCCUGAGGGUCUGACGGAGAUCUUGUGUCCGAAGAACGGCUCCGAGCGCGUCGACGUGGCGCUGGUCUACCCCCCGACCCCCGCCGUGCUGAGCCCCGGCCUCCAGUGACCCCCCAACCCCCCCCCCCCCCCAACCUGCCCCCUGCCCCGACCUCGCCGGAUCACUGCCCCCCCGACGUUGUCCGUCUGGGACCUGGGACGUCUCAUCGACAUCAGACAGUAUUUAAGGAUCAGGACGUUGUCUCUCAGUCUCUGGACAGACGUCUUUUUAAUCAUUUCUACACACCACAGACGUCUGUAACGCUGAGGACCGCGUUGCAUUGUGGGCCGGAUCUCUGCAACGCCCCCCCCCCCCCCCCCCCAGAAGGUUUCACGGGACGGAAGUGUCCCGCGAUGUGUUCGAGUGUUGAAUCAGAAUCAGACACUAAUGCAGCAAAAACAUGACGAUGUGUUGAGUGUAUGUGCAAGAAGAGAGA